Molecule: unclassified non-coding RNA, 200 nt
Filed under: Hevea brasiliensis (rubber tree)
Lineage: Eukaryota; Viridiplantae; Streptophyta; Magnoliopsida; Malpighiales; Euphorbiaceae
Source: RNAcentral
GACUACUCAGGCGCGACAUCCGACGUCGGAACGCCGUACGGACAAGGCGUCGCCGACGCAUACGCCUGGAUCAACAAGAACGGCGGCAUCGGCGGAAAGCCGGUGAAGAUCGACACCGUCGAUUACGGCUNNNNNNNGUACAAGAAGUGGUCGGGCGGCGAAAAGGUCGCAGCGAUCAUCGGAUGGGGCACGGCCGAUAC